This is a non-coding RNA of Ameiurus melas (black bullhead), 71 nucleotides long. The record is from the annotation of a GenBank genome assembly. NCBI's taxonomy places the organism in Eukaryota, Metazoa, Chordata, Actinopteri, Siluriformes, Ictaluridae.
GGCUUAGUGGUUAGCGGUUAGCACUUUCGCCUCACACCUCCAGGGGCCGGGGUUCAAUUCCCACUGGGUCC